AGAGAUGUGAAAACUGGAAGAGAAACAGGAAGUACCUCCAGGAUUCACCUAAACAGAUGCUGCAGUUUCCAUCAAACUACAGGCCACCCCAGCAUCUUAGUGGCUUCUAUAGGUUGUCCUGAGAGAGCCACGAGGCCAGGGCCCUUGAAGGAUUCCCAGAUACCAGCUGCUCCUCCAGACACCAAUUCCUCCCUCCACCUUUCUGUGUCCGUCCCAGACCCAGGCAGCCCAGGACUGGUAUCCUUCUAAGAAGAGGAAGGGACAUCAGAGGAGAGGCCAGGUGAGGACACUAUGGGAACGCAGCCACCUGCAAGCCAAGGAGAGGGGCCUCGGGAGAAACCAGCCCUGCUGACGCCCUGAGCUCCUUGCAAUUCCAGCCUUCUAGACUGUGAGAAAAUACGCUUGUGUUAUUUAA
RNAcentral lists this long non-coding RNA (415 nucleotides) under Pongo abelii (Sumatran orangutan). RNAcentral describes it as "lincRNA". Lineage: Eukaryota; Metazoa; Chordata; Mammalia; Primates; Hominidae. The record is from RNAcentral.